This is a non-coding RNA of Gossypium hirsutum (cotton), 107 nucleotides long. NCBI's taxonomy places the organism in Eukaryota, Viridiplantae, Streptophyta, Magnoliopsida, Malvales, Malvaceae. The record is from Rfam.
AGUCCAUGCUGAGGACACCUUCUCAACAAAUCUUUAAAUCUCUCUCAUGUAUCAUAAAGAACUUUAAUAUCAAACUGAUCAAAAGAAGUGAUGUCAUUUCUCAACUU